Molecule: ribosomal RNA, 252 nt
Filed under: uncultured bacterium
Lineage: Bacteria
Description: partial 16S ribosomal RNA
Rfam family: Bacterial small subunit ribosomal RNA
Source: RNAcentral
UACGGAGGAUGCGAGCGUUAUCCGGAUUUAUUGGGUUUAAAGGGUGCGUAGGCGGACUGUCAAGUCAGCGGUAAAAUUGAGAGGCUCAACCUCUUCCCGCCGUUGAAACUGGUGGUCUUGAGUGGAUGAGAAGUACGCGGAAUGCGUGGUGUAGCGGUGAAAUGCAUAGAUAUCACGCAGAACUCCGAUUGCGAAGGCAGCGUACCGGCAUCCAGCUGACGCUGAGGCACGAAAGCGUGGGGAUCAAACAGG